RNAcentral lists this ribosomal RNA (467 nucleotides) under uncultured bacterium. RNAcentral describes it as "bacterial SSU rRNA". It matches the Rfam family "Bacterial small subunit ribosomal RNA", at positions 329 to 795 of the family's 1533-position model. The record is from RNAcentral.
UUCCAGACUCCUACGGGAGGCAGCAGUGAGGAAUAUUGGUCAAUGGCCGAGAGGCUGAACCAGCCAAGUCGCGUGAGGGAAGAAUGUCCUAUGGAUUGUAAACCUCUUUUGUCAGGGAGCAAAGUCACCCACGUGUGGGUGUUGGAGAGUACCUGAAGAAAAAGCAUCGGCUAACUCCGUGCCAGCAGCCGCGGUAAUACGGAGGAUGCGAGCGUUAUCCGGAUUUAUUGGGUUUAAAGGGUGCGUAGGCGGACAGUCAAGUCAGCGGUAAAAAUGCGGUGCUCAACGCCGUACAGCCGUUGAAACUGGCAGUCUUGAGUGGGCGAGAAGUAUGCGGAAUGCGUGGUGUAGCGGUGAAAUGCAUAGAUAUCACGCAGAACUCCGAUUGCGAAGGCAGCAUACCGGCGCCCGACUGACGCUGAGGCACGAAAGCGUGGGUAUCGAACAGGAUUAGAUACCCUUGUAAC